Molecule: ribosomal RNA, 360 nt
Filed under: uncultured Pantoea sp.
Lineage: Bacteria; Pseudomonadati; Pseudomonadota; Gammaproteobacteria; Enterobacterales; Erwiniaceae
Description: bacterial SSU rRNA
Rfam family: Bacterial small subunit ribosomal RNA
Source: RNAcentral
CGCCCUUAGAGUUUGAUCAUGGCUCAGAUUGAACGCUGGCGGCAGGCCUAACACAUGCAAGUCGAACGGUAAAGUAGCUUGCUACUUACGAGUGGCGGACGGGUGAGUAAUGUCUGGGGAUCUGCCUGAUGGAGGGGGAUAACUACUGGAAACGGUAGCUAAUACCGCAUAAUGUCGCAAGACCAAAGCGGUUCGUCGCACCAUCAGAUGAACCCAGAUGGGAUUAGCUAGUAGGUAGGGUAAUGGCUUACCUAGGCGACGAUCCCUAGCUGGUCUGAGAGGAUGACCAGCCACACUGGAACUGAGACACGGUCCAGACUCCUACGGGAGGCAGCAGUGGGGAAUAUUGCACAAUGGGGU